AAACUUCAAAGGCUAAAAUGCACAGUCUGAGUUCCUUAAACUCCUUACUACAUUCUCCUUCUCACAUGAAAUGGAUACAUCCUAGUUCUUUUUUGGGAUCAAUAAGGACAGGCUGGAAGGAUCCAAAACCAACCCCACUCACCAUUAUUAUUAUUAUUAUUAUCAGGGCAGAAACAAACACAACACUACCCUCUCCAAUAAAGUGUAUUUCUGUACACAAAACUCUUCAGUCUUAACCAAGGUAGUAGCUAGCAGCAGAAAAAUUAAAAUUAAAAAUUAAAAAAAUUAAAGAGACUUACAAAAAGCAAAAAAAAGGAGGAGGAUUGAAUUCUUUCUUGCCUUUUCUUUUUCCUUGCAGACUCUGCUAAGCAUCUUUGGUUCCUCACUUUUCCAUUCUUUUAUCUGCCUUCCCACUCCUUCUUCAUUCCUCUUCGAAUUUUCUCUUCUUUUUUUUCAACCAAAUUAUCUUGGUUUGAGCUUCUCUAUUUCUAGCAUGCAAUCUUAUUCCUUCUCCCACAAAUUGCUCUUCUUUAGGUN
Molecule: long non-coding RNA, 537 nt
Filed under: Glycine max (soybean)
Lineage: Eukaryota; Viridiplantae; Streptophyta; Magnoliopsida; Fabales; Fabaceae
Description: long non-coding RNA (GMAX_LNC004394)
Source: RNAcentral